This is a long non-coding RNA of Bos taurus (domestic cattle), 681 nucleotides long. Lineage: Eukaryota; Metazoa; Chordata; Mammalia; Artiodactyla; Bovidae. The record is from Ensembl.
CAUGUAUAAUUUAUAAUUUUCUAGAUAUCAUAUUAAAAAAGUAAAAAGAAACAGAUUGGCCAUUUGGAACCUCUUAACAUUUCGGACACGACUGAAGCGACUUAGCAGCAGCAGCAGCAGCAGCAACGUUUGUCCAUGUGUCCCUUCAAGAUGUGCUCAUCCCUUUUUGGAGCCCUUCCUUUUCUUUUGGGACUACAAAAUAUCCCAGUCAUCCAUUCAUCAUUGGGACAGAGGUCACUGUUCCAGUCAGGCAACAUAGCAUCUUGCCUGGGGUUUGCAGAGAAAAGCCAGACCAGGAGGAGCAGAGUCAGCAGGACUCAACUACCAACCAUGACAGGGGAAGUGAGCAGCUUCCCCCACAGCUGUGCGUCUCGUGUUGUCUCUGUAAACCUCAAAGUUGGCAUUGGGAAAGCUUUCUUUAAGAUGACAGACUGCUCUUUUCCUUUGUCUCGCCUGUGUUUCCUGGCCCAUGUCUGCAUCAGUUUUGCCCUCAGUUUGAGGUGGUGGCGGCAUGACCCUGCCAUACAGUGGAACCACUCAGUCACCACCAAACUGUCACUCAGUUCCUGGCAGAAAAGACUUCACACCCAUAAUCCUGUAAUCUUUUCCUCCAACAAGGACUCCAUUUCACUUGAAGAGGUUGAAAUGAAUAGCUUUUGUCAUUUGGAAUUUGAGCACAUC